Molecule: ribosomal RNA, 435 nt
Filed under: uncultured bacterium
Lineage: Bacteria
Description: bacterial SSU rRNA
Rfam family: Bacterial small subunit ribosomal RNA
Source: RNAcentral
UCGAGGAUCUUCGGCAAUGGGCGCAAGCCUGACCGAGCGACGCCGCGUGUGCGAUGAAGGCCUUCGGGUUGUAAAGCACUGUCGAGGGGGAGGAAAGCCCGCAAGGGUCUGACCUAUCCCUGGAGGAAGCACGGGCUAAGUUCGUGCCAGCAGCCGCGGUAAGACGAACCGUGCGAACGUUGUUCGGAAUCACUGGGCUUAAAGGGCGCGUAGGCGGGUCAGCAAGUCCGGGGUGAAAUCUUUCGGCUUAACCGGAAAAGUGCCUUGGAUACUGCUGGUCUGGAGUGAGGUAGGGGCCGCGGGAACUUCCGGUGGAGCGGUGAAAUGCGUUGAUAUCGGAAGGAACGCCGGUGGCGAAAGCGCGCGGCUGGCCCUCAACUGACGCUGAGGCGCGAAAGCUAGGGGAGCAAACGGGAUUAGAUACCCCCGUAGUCC